GACGAACGCUAGCGGCGUGCCUAAUACAUGCAAGUCGAACGAACCGCGACUAAGUGCUUGCACUAAGUCAAGGUGAGUGGCGAACGGGUGAGUAACACGUGGGUAACCUACCUCAUAGUGGGGGAUAACAGUCGGAAACGACUGCUAAUACCGCAUAGGACAUAGGAUCACAUGAUCCAGUGAGGAAAGGUGGCGCAAGCUAUCGCUAAGAGAUGGACCCGCGGUGCAUUAGCUAGUUGGUAGGGUAAAGGCCUACCAAGGCGAUGAUGCAUAGCCGACCUGAGAGGGUGAUCGGCCACAUUGGGACUGAGACACGGCCCAAACUCCUACGGGAGGCAGCAGUAGGGAAUCUUCCGCAAAGGACGCAAGUCUGACGGAGCAACGCCGCGUGAGUGAAGAAGGUCUUCGGAUCGUAAAGCUCUGUUGUUAGAGAAGAACAGCGCAUAGAGUAACUGCUAUGCGUGUGACGGUAUCUAACCAGAAAGCCACGGCUAACUACGUG
Molecule: ribosomal RNA, 502 nt
Filed under: uncultured bacterium
Lineage: Bacteria
Description: partial 16S ribosomal RNA
Rfam family: Bacterial small subunit ribosomal RNA
Source: RNAcentral